AGUCGAACGGAAAGGCCCUGCUUGCAGGGUACUCGAGUGGCGAACGGGUGAGUAACACGUGGGUGAUCUGCCCUGCACUUCGGGAUAAGCUUGGGAAACUGGGUCUAAUACCGGAUAGGAACCAUCUUUAGUGUGGUGGUUGGAAAGUUUUUUCGGUGUAGGAUGAGCUCGCGGCCUAUCAGCUUGUUGGUGGGGUAAUGGCCUACCAAGGCGGCGACGGGUAGCCGGCCUGAGAGGGUGUACGGCCACAUUGGGACUGAGAUACGGCCCAGACUCCUACGGGAGGCAGCAGUGGGGAAUAUUGCACAAUGGGCGCAAGCCUGAUGCAGCGACGCCGCGUGGGGGAUGAAGGCCUUCGGGUUGUAAACUCCUUUCGCUAGGGACGAAGCUUUUUGUGACGGUACCUAGAUAAGAAGCACCGGCUAACUACGUGCCAGCAGCCGCGGUAAUACGUAGGGUGCGAGCGUUGUCCGGAAUUACUGGGCGUAAAGGGCUCGUAGGUGGUUUGUCGCGUCGUCUGUGAAAUUCUGGGGCUUAACUCCGGGCGUGCAGGCGAUACGGGCAUAACUUGAGUGCUGUAGGGGUAACUGGAAUUCCUGGUGUAGCGGUGAAAUGCGCAGAUAUCAGGAGGAACACCGAUGGCGAAGGCAGGUUACUGGGCAGUUACUGACGCUGAGGAGCG
Molecule: ribosomal RNA, 682 nt
Filed under: uncultured Actinomycetales bacterium
Lineage: Bacteria; Bacillati; Actinomycetota; Actinomycetes; Actinomycetales
Description: bacterial SSU rRNA
Rfam family: Bacterial small subunit ribosomal RNA
Source: RNAcentral